Alnus glutinosa is the source of this 1685-nucleotide RNA transcript. RefSeq lists it as uncharacterized. The transcript is spliced from 3 exons. Lineage: Eukaryota; Viridiplantae; Streptophyta; Magnoliopsida; Fagales; Betulaceae. The record is from RefSeq and is a predicted model, not a curated record.
UCACUCCUUUUUUAAGACCAUCAGAGAGAGAGAGAGACCAGCAGAAACCGGUUUCUUCUUCCUCUCCUUAGCUUAUUUCUUCCUUUCUUUUAUUCUUCUUUUCUAAGACUGAGAGACCCUCAUGUAGUCCAUGACCCAGCCCGUGUCCUCCAACUGUGAGCCAGCCCCGAACCGCAGCCCAUGCAACCAACAAACACGAACCAUGCAGGGACCAUACAGCUCUACCCCGAAACUCAUGCAGCCGAGCCCGAUCUACCGAAACCCGCGACUCGGUUCCCAUCGAGCUGUAGAUCCGUGAGCCACACCGUGAAUCCCAGCCCUCUGCAGACUCACGCAUGACCGCGCGUGCGUGCAACCCAGAGACCCAAGAUCCGGAUCCGAGCCAUUCCCGUCGAUGCCGCGAAGACCCGUAAGGCACGAACCCAGAACCCCGUGCUGGAUGGCAUUUUCCGACGAUCGGGAUGGUGUUUUCCAGCGACAAACCCGACCACUUCAGGGUAUUAAUUAUUGUGAAUUAAAUAAUGUGAGUGUGUGAAUUAAAUAAUAUGAGUGAGUGAAUUAAAUAAUGUGAGUGGAAUAAUAUGAAUUAAAUAAGGUGAGUGUGUGAAUUAAAUAAUGUGAGUGGAAUAAUAUGAAUUAAAUAAUGUGAGUGUGUGAAUUAAAUAAUGUGAGUGGAUUAAUAUAGAUUAAAUAAUGUGAGUGUGUGCAGCCAGCCCGACCCGGCAACAACCCAAGCCCAUACCCAUGACCCGACCCGGAAUCCCGACCCGCCGGCGACCCGCCGCCGGCAGUUUCUCCGGCGACUUUUCCGGCAGUUUCUCCGGCGACUUUUCCGUCAGUUUUUCCGGCGACUUCUCCGGUGACUUUUCCGGCGACUUUUCCGGCCACUUUCCGGUGACUUUCCGGCCACUUUCCGGCUAUUUUCCCCGGCGACCAAACUCACCGUUUCGCUGGAUUUUCGAGUGGAAAUCCUUAAUAUGUUUGCGCAGGUACUGAAGAUUAUGGAAUGGAUUAACUGCUAGCUUAAGAGAUUUAUAGCUGUGUAGUUAGGAUUUUAGUACUUUGUACUCAUAGAUGUUUGUACUAUUUGCUUGUAAUAUGUCUAGACAUUUACUUGUAAUUAAUAAGUUCCAUGCAGGCUUUAGUGUCAUAUGUGUCACAUGUUUCUUUGUAAAUAGUGUAAAGAUUUUUAAUGUAUUUUCUAGAAGAUGUCAGUUAAAGCUCUGAAUAUAUCGUAAGGGAGUUGUCCCUAUCGGUGAUGUUUAAAAAAAAGAUAUUCGUAUUUUUCCGCUGCCAGAUUUUAUCAACUCUGAAUGGUUAAUGACACGUAAUUAUCCAGAUAUAAUUACUUACGCUCUUUUGUAAAAAGCGGGUCGUUACAAAGAAGAUAGAGAAAUUGAAGAAAAACUGAAAUGAAUUCACUGACCUCCAUACCAGCAACAUUGUGACUGGGGUGGGUUGGAACGAGGUGGACAAUACGGUCGCGCUAGAUUAGCGUCAAUGGGAACAAUUAAAAUCGCAAUAUGGCCCAAGUAAAUAUUACAGAUUCAGGAAAGGCGCACCGGCAAACUACUCCCUCUUGAACAACAUCUAUACAGGGUCAACUGCAACUGGUCGAUAUAGAUAUUGAAAAAUAAAGAGACUUCUAAUUUUAACAAGUGUGUGUGAACAGUGUGCAAAUAAAU